This 310-nucleotide ribosomal RNA is filed under the name uncultured bacterium. Its description in RNAcentral is "bacterial SSU rRNA". It matches the Rfam family "Bacterial small subunit ribosomal RNA", at positions 28 to 334 of the family's 1533-position model. The record is from RNAcentral.
GAUGAACGCUAGCGGCAGGCUUAAUACAUGCAAGUCGUGGGGCAGCAUGAGUAGCAAUACUUGAUGGCGACCGGCAAACGGGUGAGGAACACGUACACAACCUUCCUUCAAGCGGGGAAUAGCCCAGAGAAAUCUGGAUUAAUACCCCAUAAUAUAUUUGAUAAGGCAUCUUAUUAAUAUUAAAGCUUCGGCACUUGAUGAUGGGUGUGCGGCUGAUUAGAUAGUUGGCGGGGUAACGGCCCACCAAGUCUACGAUCAGUAGCUGACGUGAGAGCAUGAUCAGCCACACGGGCACUGAGACACGGGCCCG